GACGAACGCUGGCGGCGUGCCUAACACAUGCAAGUCAACUUGACUGAAGGAGCAAUCUGACAGUAGAGUGGCGCAAGGGUGCGUAACGCGUAAGUAACUUGCCCAAGGUAAGGAAUAACGUCGAGAAAUCGGCGCUAAUACCUCAUAAUGCAGCGGAUCCGCAUGGAUAUGUUGUUAAAGGUUUACCGCCUUGGGAUAGGCUUGCGUCUGAUUAGCUAGUUGGUGUGGUAACGGCACACCAAGGCUACGAUCAGUAACUGGUCUGAGAGGAUGAUCAGUCACACUGGAACUGAGACACGGUCCAGACUCCUACGGGAGGCAGCAGUGAGGAAUAUUGGGCAAUGCUCGAAAGAGUGACCCAGCAACGCCGCGUGGAGGAUGAAGGUAUUCUAUAU
This 395-nucleotide ribosomal RNA is filed under the name uncultured bacterium. RNAcentral describes it as "bacterial SSU rRNA". It matches the Rfam family "Bacterial small subunit ribosomal RNA", at positions 28 to 423 of the family's 1533-position model. The record is from RNAcentral.